Physeter macrocephalus (sperm whale) is the source of this 131-nucleotide small nucleolar RNA. The record is from Ensembl. Lineage: Eukaryota; Metazoa; Chordata; Mammalia; Artiodactyla; Physeteridae.
AUCGAGGCUAGAGUCACGCUUGGGUAUCAGCCAUUGUCUUAGUGUGCUAGAGUCCUCAAAGAGUAGCUGCUGACCUUAUUCACUGGCUGUGGCCCUCAUGGCAUAGUCAGUCACCCAGGUUAGUGACAUGC